CUACGGGGGGCUGCAGUGGGGAAUAUUGCACAAUGGGGGAAACCCUGAUGCAGCAACGCCGCGUGGAGGAUGACGCAUUUCGGUGUGUAAACUCCUUUUAUAUAGGAAGAUAAUGACGGUACUAUAUGAAUAAGCACCGGCUAACUCCGUGCCAGCAGCCGCGGUAAUACGGAGGGUGCAAGCGUUACUCGGAAUCACUGGGCGUAAAGCGCGCGCAGGCGGUUUGAUAAGUUGGAUGUGAAAGCCUACGGCUCAACCGUAGAACUGCAUCCAAAACUGUCAAACUAGAGUAUGGGAGGGGAAGAUGGAAUUAGUUGUGUAGGGGUAACAUCCGUAGAGAUAACUAGGAAUACCAAAAGCGAAGGCGAUCUUCUGGAACAGUACUGACGCUGAGGCGCGAAAGCGUGGGGAGCAAACAGGAUUAGAUACCCGUGUAGUC
Molecule: ribosomal RNA, 439 nt
Filed under: uncultured bacterium
Lineage: Bacteria
Description: partial 16S ribosomal RNA
Rfam family: Bacterial small subunit ribosomal RNA
Source: RNAcentral